GCCCUUAUCAGUUGUAUAAACGACCUAGCUCCUUUACCCGCAGUAUCCGCACCCUUAUCUCUACCAGACGCCCUCACCCUAAAGAAUACAUCCAGUCUUCCCGCCUGGAUCAGUGUGCUCUUCAAGCCACCUCUGCUGAGCAAUAUGUCACUCUGGAGAUUCCCUCCGAGUUGCUCUCCAACUGGAAACGAGAAGGUUAUACUCAUCUCCACCUUGGCGGCAUCAGAUUAAUCCUUACCCUUCAUGGGAGAAAAGGAUUACCGGUUACCGCUCGACUUGCUAUGCUUGAUACCCGGUUUAAACAGUACCAAGAUGCUGUUAUCGGUACUGUUCUCACAACCCUUCAUGCAGGAAGUGUUUUACUCACUUUCUAUCCCAAUUUCAAUCUUUCUCUCCAAGACCCCAAUUUGCCCACAACCUUGAAAGUCCAAGUUCAGAUUCAAGGUGCUGAACAAAUUUCUUCUGCAAAAAUUGCCACUUUACAUCACCAACUGGUCUACAGGCUUCAAAAUCAUGCCUUAGAUCUACCCGCUCCAGAACACCACUCUGACACCCUCAUGGUGUUAGCAGAAUCUGACCAGAUCCCGACAAUCAUCCAGAUUCCCCGACAAAUUCCCCGUCAUGAGCUCAUCAAGCUUAUGCCUCUUGAAUGGAUCUCCAACUAUGAACAGUUCCACAACAAUACAGCUCCAAUUCAGACCUCUGACGGCAUGUUUGAAAGACGACAUGAUGGAACAGUCAGAAUGACUUUUAAACCACCCCCCAGUGCUCCACAAGAGCCUCCUAGGCUCUCCUUUACCUAUUCUUCAAUGAUCACAGCUGUUCAGACAGCGCAGGAAGAUCUGCCCAUUACAGGGUUUAAUUCUCAAGGCUACCCUGUUUAUCCAGCCAAACACAAUGGCCAUUUCCUAUGGGAUGCCCCUGGUUCCGGCAUGUGUGACCCAAAUUGUCCCUGCUGGGAUGAUUGGGAAGAAGACGAUGAUUACGCAACCACAAGGAAAAAGAAACCCAAAAAGAAAAAACCUCCUGUUCCAUGUCACCACUGUGACCCUAAACCACCAUCAGAUCCUCCACCUCCACCGGCUCCAUUACCCAUCUACCGAAAAGAACUCACAUGGAUUGCCAAACAUUGCAAAUCUGAGAUUCCAUCACCACUCUCACACCCAACACCUAUCGUCCAACCACUGGCUUGUAUGAUGUUUUCCUCUACUUCUUCAGAUUACUCUUCCUUUCCUCCUUUGGAACCCCAUACAGAUUCUCAACGAAAUGUUGUGUCCAAACCCUUUAUCCCUUCCCCUAUUACCUCCACUGGCCACCUAGAACCUCCCAAACCUUUUGAAUCAGUCCUCAACUGGCAAACCCAAAAUGCUAGAGCACAGAAUGAUACUUUGGUCAAUAUCAAUUCCAAAGUUGAGAAAAUCAGUUUACGAACUGACCAGCUUGAGACAAAGGUUGACUCCAUCUCUGCACAGAUGCAGCAGAUCCACCAAAAUCUCCAGUCCAGAAUUGGCCAACUCGAUUCAGAGUUACGAGCCAUGCUAGCCCACAGAUACAAUGGUCCCGAAUUUGACCAAAAGGAAAGGGAAAUCAGGCGAUUAAAAGCUGAACUUGCUCAGAUUGAAUCUGAAAAACAGAGACCUACCCUUUUCACCAGUUCACCUCUUAUUCCUUCUAUCGGUCCAACUUACCAUCCUUUUGCCUCUAUGCUCUCUCCUAUUAAACAAUAUGACCCUUCCAAGUUAUUUGGCAUGACUCAUACUCUUUUCAGAGACAAUCCUUUGCCACCGCCACCUAAACCUAAACCCAAACCUAGACCGCAGCCUCGACCUCCCCCUCUUCAUCCUUCCUCUCUGACCAUCCCUGGCCAACCAUCUCCUACUUUUACACCGACCUCACCACCAGCUCCUUUAUCAGUCCCUGCCCAAUCAAAAGAUAAAGAACCCAUGAACCAAUUUACUGCUCACGCAGUCAUCCAUUCAUCUACUGACGAUCAAACUUCUGCUUCAAAUCUAGCUGUUUCAGAUAGCCAUACCGAAACCGACUCAGAAUCUUCAGCAUCCACCAGUGACUCUGAAAAGUCCUAUGCUGAUAUUACCAAAAUCCUGAUGGCUCAACCUGAUCAAGGCCAAACCUCUCAUACAGAACCAUAUGUUGAUAUUCCCUCCGAAGUUGAAGACGAAAUGCCUGAAUCUUCUGCCACAAACCAACCUUCUCCAGCCCAGCCCAAUCCACCCAGUCAAAAAUCGUCAAAUGGUCCAUGGUUCACAUUUGAUGAUCUUCCAUCUCAUAAAUGGCGUGACCGACUCAAUGAAAUGUCUGCCUGGAUUGACCUGCAGAUGCUAAGAACAGGAGCAACAACUCAAUCAGUCCUUAGAGAAUUUGCUACUCGUUUUACGGGUGCUCUAAGAGAUUGGUUUGAUUCGUUAGGACAAUAUCGCCAGUUACAGUUUGUUGACCUUCCAGAAGUUUCAAGUGCUCUUGCUGUACUUCAUGAUCAAUUCCUUGGCGACCCUUCUGCAGUCUUUGAAGCUGCCAGACGAGACUACCUCAACAUGAAAUGCUGCUCCCUCAAUGCUAAGGAUCUUGACUUCCAUUAUAAGCGAAUGUCCCUGCUGUUCUAUAAGCUUAAUGGAUUCAAUGAGCCGACAUUAAAGCAUGUCUUUCUGGCUUCCCUCCCCGAAGAACUCCAACCUGACAUCCAGAGACAACUUACAGCAUCCAAUCUUUCCCUAGACAACAUCUCCCUUGGCAAAAUCUUCCAGCUUGCCAAAACCUGUCUUGACAAACUUUGCGAGCAAAAACAGUUUUUCAAAGAACUGUUGAAAGACAAAGAACCUUUCCGCAGUGCUUGCAAAAAGCCUUAUUUACAGAUCAAAUGCCACAAGAAAAAGGAUUGCGAUUGCAGUUCAAAGAAAAAACGGCAUUUUCGGAAAUUCAAAACUCCAGAAUUUUCAUCCAAACCUCGCAGAUCCCGAAAGCCCUACCGGUUCUUCCGAAAGAAAUCUUCCUCCUCCAGAGAAUUCAAACGAAAGCAAUCAAGCAGAUGUUUCAUCUGCAAGAGAAAAGGCCACUAUGCCAAAGAUUGUCCCAACAAAAGAGAAAAGGCCAUCCGGUUGGUUGAACAUCUUCAAGCAACCACAGACUACUCUCCUGCCAAAGAUGAAUUGGAAUUCUAUUUCUCUGAACAAGAUGAACCCAACGAUGAAACAGUGUUCGCACUACAAAAUUCCUCUGACUCAGAUAGUGACCAGUCUCAAGUGAUUUUCCACCAACAGUUACUCUCCCUUGAUACUACAGUUCCUAUCCCAUCCAUCAAACUCCAGAUCUUGCCCUCAAAAUUCCAAAGGCCCAUUCCAGCAAUUGGUCUUAUAGAUACUGGUGCCCAACGAAGCAUGUUGAACCCCCAUAUUCUUCCACCAGAAUAUUGGACCCAGUCUGAAGAACAUUUCAAAGCUGUCAAUGGCAAACUCUUCACCACCUCUUUGAUUACCAAAAAAUCCAUUGGUAUUCAAAUCUUCCCAAAUUGUGUCAUUUGGACCAAGGUUAUUGGUUCCACUCUUCCUAAUAAGGAUAUCUUAUUAGGAUUUGACAUCCUUCACCAAAUCAAACACCUCCAAAUCAUUCCCACUGGAAUCCGAGUCAAGUCCAUGUUCAAACCAUUCACAAACAUUCUGAAACUCUACAAUUUGUCUGAAACUCCCCAGUCUUACCAGGAUAUUUCAACCAAACUUUUGAGUUUCUGUCCAGAGUCCCAUUCUGAGUUCACCCAUCCAAAUCCAUUGUGGAAAAAUAAGUCUUUCUUCAUUAAGUUACCCUUCAAACUCAAUGAAGACAUUAACCCAACUAAAGCUACCCAUCCAGGAAUGAGUCCUUCUGACUUACUCCUAGCCCAACAAGAAUGUUCACAAUUGUUGGCCCAAGGUUUAAUUGAGCCCACAAGUUCCCAAUGGGCUUGCCAAGCCUUUUAUGUUGAAAAGCAUUCUGAAAUUGUCCGAGGAAAGAAACGCCUAGUCAUUGACUACCAGCCAUUAAACAUGUUUUUACAAGAUGACAAAUUCCCUUUACCUCGCCGACAAAGCAUGUUCACUUUUCUUAAAAAUGCCCAGAUCUUUUCAAAAUUUGAUUUAAAAUCUGGUUUUUGGCAACUCGGCAUUGAACCCUCCGAACGUUACAAAACCGCUUUUUGUAUUCCCAAUGCCCAUUUCCAAUGGACCGUCCUACCCUUUGGCCUCAAAACUGCCCCCUCCAUUUUCCAAAAAUCCAUGGUCCAAAUCUUCCAGCCCAUUUUGCAUCAUGCAUUGAUUUACAUUGACGAUAUUUUGCUUUUUUCAGGAUCGCAUGAAGAACAUCGCAACCUAUUGUCCCAAUUCUAUGAUAUUAUCCAAAGUCAUGGAAUCAUGUUAUCAGCCAAGAAAAGCACCAUUGCUACAGAUAAUAUUGAAUUCCUUGGUAUGAUCAUUAAAGAUGGACACUACCAGCCAGGAAAGCACAUUGCCCAAGAAUUGCUUCACUUUCCAGAUCAGCAACUUUCCAAAAGGCAAAUCCAACAGUUUCUCGGCAUUAUCAAUUACAUCCGUGAUUUCCUCCCACAUGUGGACCAUCACACUCAUCAUCUCUCAGCUUUAUUGAAAAAGCAGCCCCCAGAAUGGAAUGCUGACCACACACGUGCUGUCACUACUCUCAAGCAGAUUGCGCAAAAUCCGCCUCCUUUAAAGUUGCUUACUGAUGGCAAGCGCAUAUUACAGACAGACGCAAGUGAUGAAUCAUGGGGUGCCAUCCUCCUCGAAGAACUCAAUGACAAGGAACACUUUAUCGCUUACGCUAGUGGACAUUUUUCUGAAACACAGAAGCACUACCAUAGCGUGUUUAAAGAAAUCUUAGCGGUAAAGAAUGGCAUCAAAAAGUUUGAGUAUCAUCUGAUUGGACACCAUUUUCUCAUCCGAAUGGACAGCUCAGCCUUCCCCAAUAUCUUUCAUUUCAAAGGUAAAACUGUUCCCGAAAAAAUGUUACUCAGAUUAAAAGAUUGGUUUUCCAAAUAUGACUUUUCAGUCAAGCAUAUAAAGGGAUCCCAGAACCUCAUCCCUGAUAUGCUCUCCAGACUCUCUAAACCACAAGGCCCUCUCACCCUGUUUUCCACCACCUACCAUUUUCCAAUUAUCUCCAUGGCUACCUCACUACCCCCAGAAGCUCUCACCAAGAAAACUUUUCCCUUCAACAAAACCUUCUCUUCUGUUUUUAUCCAAGAAUUUGCAAGAAAAGCUCUCUUUCGCUUUUUCAUGAAAGCCUACCUUGUCACCGACCCUUUUCCUUUUUCCACUUUCCACCCAGAAAAUCUGUUCCUUACAGGUUUAACCCUUGAUCCGACCAGAGACACCACUGAAGACGUGUUAUGGUACAUCUGGUGCCUAACAGUCCUUUACGCAACCAAGUUAGUCCUCCCCAUUUCUCCCACUCUGGACCACCUCCUUAAUCCAGAUAACGCCACCUCCCUUACCUGGACCCUACUUGAAUGGUUCUCCCCCAUCCCAUGGUGGAGAAUGAAACUGCAACAACUGUCCGAAAUUUACAACCUUGACCGUAUGCCUGCCCCUGAAGCACAAAUGUUCACAUCAGUUUUUAUUAUUCACAGGCCAUACUUCCAACAUCCAGACACCCAUCUCUUUUGGACUCAAGAUCAGGUAUAUGAAUGGUUCACUGCACCACAUAUAGCUGUGAUUGAAAAUGACAUACAAGACGUCCUGCACAAUUACCUUUGCCAAUUAAACCACCAACCUCCGCCACUUAAAGAUAUCUCUCACACCUCCUUAGGUCCACAACAUGACCUUCUCAUGAUACCCACUCCAUCUGCCAUAUCUAAACCUAAGUCCACUGGCAUCAUCAUCAAAGAAGAACGACCAGACUACACUGACUUCCUUUAUCAAGACUCACAAGAUCCAUGGGAAGAUUUUCUUCCUCUAAGCCAACACCUCCACCAGUUUCCCCAACCAACAAUGGAUGAACCUGGCCCCUCCGUACUCCGUACCAGGACCCUCAACCCAAUCUUCCAAACAACCAUCCAAAGUUGACAAAGCCACCCAAACUUCCCCUAAGUAUACUCCGAAGUGUACUCCCAGAGACUAUAAUUGCCCUUAUCCACCAUGCCGUGGUCCCUCCUGUAAGCAUCCAAAGCUCUCCAAAACUUUCUUCCAAAAGCAUCCUCACUCUGGUGAUACGGACCCAGAUGAGACCGAAAGCUCAUCCGAAGACGAGUACAUGAAUCUCCGCUCUCCAUAAAGUUGUUUGUCUUGUUGCUUUCAAUAAAGUAGUUUGUCUUGUUGUCAUAAUGAUGUUUCGCUAUUAAAGUUUGUUUUUACUUUAAUACUUUUGUCCAAGUCAUGCUUUAAUUAUUAAAGCACUAAUUAUUAAAGCACUUUUGUCUUUUGUAAUAAUUAAAGUCGUGCAAUUAUGUAAAAGAUAGGGGUCCUGUCCUAUCUUCUCACGAAUCCUCCUCUAUAUAAAGGAUUCUCCCCUUGCUUGUAAGAUAUAGAAGUUUAAGGAUUCUCCCCUUGCUUGUAAGAUAUAGAAGUUUGAAAGAAAUAAACUCGUGUUUUUCUCUUACACCCUAAGAAAGAAACAGAAUAAAGAAUUAAAUUUGUUCAUUUUGAAAACCUAAGGAAGUAUGCUCUGCACUUGCCUUUUCAAAUGUUUUAAAGGUUUUUGAUUACAGAGGUAUAUCGGCUGGAAACCCGAGCUUGCGGACUACUGGAAAGAAGUCUGUUUUGGGUUGUAUAACCCGAGAAAAAUGUUUUAAAAGUUUUGCGAAAGUAUAUCGGCUGGAAACCCGAGCUUGCGGACUACUGGUCCAAAGAACAGUUUUAACUGUUGUAGUUCUGGUAUAACAACGCCACGUACUUCACCAUAACUGGUAUCAGAGCCAUACCCAUCCUUGAAAAUUUCAUGUUUUCUAAAUUCACGAUUUCUUGCCCAAAAUGGUAUAAUUUAAGGCUUUUUCUAUUUUGAUCUCUAGAACUUCAGGCGCAGAGAGAACUUCUCCUUCAUGGCAUCCACUUCCUCUUCACCUCCUGUUACUCUUUCUUCCACCCUUUCUUUACCGAAAUCUUGCACUUCUCAUACUACUAAUAAAAUUGAAAAUCUUGUAGAAUACUCCUACAUCCCUGAAUCCGCCCAAAUCAGUGAAUCUUCUUACCCUCUCCUCAGCCCUUAUCAGUUGUAUAAACGACCUAGCUCCUUUACCCGCAGUAUCCGCACCCUUAUCUCUACCAGACGCCCUCACCCUAAAGAAUACAUCCAGUCUUCCCGCCUGGAUCAGUGUGCUCUUCAAGCCACCUCUGCUGAGCAAUAUGUCACUCUGGAGAUUCCCUCCGAGUUGCUCUCCAACUGGAAACGAGAAGGUUAUACUCAUCUCCACCUUGGCGGCAUCAGAUUAAUCCUUACCCUUCAUGGGAGAAAAGGAUUACCGGUUACCGCUCGACUUGCUAUGCUUGAUACCCGGUUUAAACAGUACCAAGAUGCUGUUAUCGGUACUGUCCUCACAACCCUUCAUGCAGGAAGUGUUUUACUCACUUUCUAUCCCAAUUUCAAUCUUUCUCUCCAAGACCCCAAUUUGCCCACAACCUUGAAAGUCCAAGUUCAGAUUCAAGGUGCUGAACAAAUUUCUUCUGCAAAAAUUGCCACUUUACAUCACCAACUGGUCUACAGGCUUCAAAAUCAUGCCUUAGAUCUACCCGCUCCAGAACACCACUCUGACACCCUCAUGGUGUUAGCAGAAUCUGACCAGAUCCCGACAAUCAUCCAGAUUCCCCGACAAAUUCCCCGUCAUGAGCUCAUCAAGCUUAUGCCUCUUGAAUGGAUCUCCAACUAUGAACAGUUCCACAACAAUACAGCUCCAAUUCAGACCUCUGACGGCAUGUUUGAAAGACGACAUGAUGGAACAGUCAGAAUGACUUUUAAACCACCCCCCAGUGCUCCACAAGAGCCUCCUAGGCUCUCCUUUACCUAUUCUUCAAUGAUCACAGCUGUUCAGACAGCGCAGGAAGAUCUGCCCAUUACAGGGUUUAAUUCUCAAGGCUACCCUGUUUAUCCAGCCAAACACAAUGGCCAUUUCCUAUGGGAUGCCCCUGGUUCCGGCAUGUGUGACCCAAAUUGUCCCUGCUGGGAUGAUUGGGAAGAAGACGAUGAUUACGCAACCACAAGGAAAAAGAAACCCAAAAAGAAAAAACCUCCUGUUCCAUGUCACCACUGUGACCCUAAACCACCAUCAGAUCCUCCACCUCCACCGGCUCCAUUACCCAUCUACCGAAAAGAACUCACAUGGAUUGCCAAACAUUGCAAAUCUGCGAUUCCAUCACCACUCUCACACCCAACACCUACCGUCCAACCACUGGCUUGUAUGAUGUUUUCCUCUACUUCUUCAGAUUACUCUUCCUUUCCUCCUUUGGAACCCCAUACAGAUUCUCAACGAAAUGUUGUGUCCAAACCCUUUAUCCCUUCCCCUAUUACCUCCACUGGCCACCUAGAACCUCCCAAACCUUUUGAAUCAGUCCUCAACUGGCAAACCCAAAAUGCUAGAGCACAGAAUGAUACUUUGGUCAAUAUCAAUUCCAAAGUUGAGAAAAUCAGUUUACGAACUGACCAGCUUGAGACAAAGGUUGACUCCAUCUCUGCACAGAUGCAGCAGAUCCACCAAAAUCUCCAAUCCAGAAUUGGCCAACUCGAUUCAGAGUUACGAGCCAUGCUAGCCCACAGAUACAAUGGUCCCGAAUUUGACCAAAAGGAAAGGGAAAUCAGGCGAUUAAAAGCUGAACUUGCUCAGAUUGAAUCUGAAAAACAGAGACCUACCCUUUUCACCAGUUCACCUCUUAUUCCUUCUAUCGGUCCAACUUACCAUCCUUUUGCCUCUAUACUCUCUCCUAUUAAACAAUAUGACCCUUCCAAGUUAUUUGGCAUGACUCAUACUCUUUUCAGAGACAAUCCUUUGCCACCGCCACCUAAACCUAAACCCAAACCUAGACCGCAGCCUCGACCUCCCCCUCUUCAUCCUUCCUCUCUGACCACCCCUGGCCAACCAUCUCCUACUUUUACACCGACCUCACCACCAGCUCCUUUAUCAGUCCCUGCCCAAUCAAAAGAUAAAGAACCCAUGAACCAAUUUACUGCUCACGCAGUCAUCCAUUCAUCUACUGACGAUCAAACUUCUGCUUCAAAUCUAGCUGUUUCAGAUAGCCAUACCGAAACCGACUCAGAAUCUUCAGCAUCCACCAGUGACUCUGAAAAGUCCUAUGCUGAUAUUACCAAAAUCCUGAUGGCUCAACCUGAUCAAGGCCAAACCUCUCAUACAGAACCAUAUGUUGAUAUUCCCUCCGAAGUUGAAGACGAAAUGCCUGAAUCUUCUGCCACAAACCAACCUUCUCCAGCCCAGCCCAAUCCACCCAGUCAAAAAUCGUCAAAUGGUCCAUGGUUCACAUUUGAUGAUCUUCCAUCUCAUAAAUGGCGUGACCGACUCAAUGAAAUGUCUGCCUGGAUUGACCUGCAGAUGCUAAGAACAGGAGCAACAACUCAAUCAGUCCUUAGAGAAUUUGCUACUCGUUUUACGGGUGCUCUAAGAGAUUGGUUUGAUUCGUUAGGACAAUAUCGCCAGUUACAGUUUGUUGACCUUCCAGAAGUUUCAAGUGCUCUUGCUGUACUUCAUGAUCAAUUCCUUGGCGACCCUUCUGCAGUCUUUGAAGCUGCCAGACGAGACUACCUCAACAUGAAAUGCUGCUCCCUCAAUGCUAAGGAUCUUGACUUCCAUUAUAAGCGAAUGUCCCUGCUGUUCUAUAAGCUUAAUGGAUUCAAUGAGCCGACAUUAAAGCAUGUCUUUCUGGCUUCCCUCCCCGAAGAACUCCAACCUGACAUCCAGAGACAACUUACAGCAUCCAAUCUUUCCCUAGACAACAUCUCCCUUGGCAAAAUCUUCCAGCUUGCCAAAACCUGUCUUGACAAACUUUGCGAGCAAAAACAGUUUUUCAAAGAACUGUUGAAAGACAAAGAACCUUUCCGCAGUGCUUGCAAAAAGCCUUAUUUGCAGAUCAAAUGCCACAAGAAAAAGGAUUGCGAUUGCAGUUCAAAGAAAAAACGGCAUUUUCGGAAAUUCAAAACUCCAGAAUUUUCAUCCAAACCUCGCAGAUCCCGAAAGCCCUACCGGUUCUUCCGAAAGAAAUCUUCCUCCUCCAGAGAAUUCAAACGAAAGCAAUCAAGCAGAUGUUUCAUCUGCAAGAGAAAAGGCCACUAUGCCAAAGAUUGUCCCAACAAAAGAGAAAAGGCCAUCCGGUUGGUUGAACAUCUUCAAGCAACUACAGACUACUCUCCUGCCAAAGAUGAAUUGGAAUUCUAUUUCUCUGAACAAGAUGAACCCAACGAUGAAACAGUGUUCGCACUACAAAAUUCCUCUGACUCAGAUAGUGACCAGUCUCAAGUGAUUUUCCACCAACAGUUACUCUCCCUUGAUACUACAGUUCCUAUCCCAUCCAUCAAACUCCAGAUCUUGCCCUCAAAAUUCCAAAGGCCCAUUCCAGCAAUUGGUCUUAUAGAUACUGGUGCCCAACGAAGCAUGUUGAACCCCCAUAUUCUUCCACCAGAAUAUUAGACCCAGUCUGAAGAACAUUUCAAAGCUGUCAAUGGCAAACUCUUCACCACCUCUUUGAUUACCAAAAAAUCCAUUGGUAUUCAAAUCUUCCCAAAUUGUGUCAUUUGGACCAAGGUUAUUGGUUCCACUCUUCCUAAUAAGGAUAUCUUAUUAGGAUUUGACAUCCUUCACCAAAUCAAACACCUCCAAAUCAUUCCCACUGGAAUCCGAGUCAAGUCCAUGUUCAAACCAUUCACAAACAUUCUGAAACUCUACAAUUUGUCUGAAACUCCCCAGUCUUACCAGGAUAUUUCAACCAAACUUUUGAGUUUCUGUCCAGAGUCCCAUUCUGAGUUCACCCAUCCAAAUCCAUUGUGGAAAAAUAAGUCUUUCUUCAUUAAGUUACCCUUCAAACUCAAUGAAGACAUUAACCCAACUAAAGCUACCCAUCCAGGAAUGAGUCCUUCUGACUUACUCCUAGCCCAACAAGAAUGUUCACAAUUGUUAGCCCAAGGUUUAAUCGAGCCCACAAGUUCCCAAUGGGCUUGCCAAGCCUUUUAUGUUGAAAAGCAUUCUGAAAUUGUCCGAGGAAAGAAACGCCUAGUCAUUGACUACCAGCCAUUAAACAUGUUUUUACAAGAUGACAAAUUCCCUUUACCUCGCCGACAAAGCAUGUUCACUUUUCUUAAAAAUGCCCAGAUCUUUUCAAAAUUUGAUUUAAAAUCUGGUUUUUGGCAACUCGGCAUUGAACCCUCCGAACGUUACAAAACCGCCUUUUGUAUUCCCAAUGCCCAUUUCCAAUGGACCGUCCUACCCUUUGGCCUCAAAACUGCCCCCUCCAUUUUCCAAAAAUCCAUGGUCCAAAUCUUCCAGCCCAUUUUGCAUCAUGCAUUGAUUUACAUUGACGAUAUUUUGCUUUUUUCAGGAUCGCAUGAAGAACAUCGCAACCUAUUGUCCCAAUUCUAUGAUAUUAUCCAAAGUCAUGGAAUCAUGUUAUCAGCCAAGAAAAGCACCAUUGCUACAGAUAAUAUUGAAUUCCUUGGUAUGAUCAUUAAAGAUGGACACUACCAGCCAGGAAAGCACAUUGCCCAAGAAUUGCUUCACUUUCCAGAUCAGCAACUUUCCAAAAGGCAAAUCCAACAGUUUCUCGGCAUUAUCAAUUACAUCCGUGAUUUCCUCCCACAUGUGGACCAUCACACUCAUCAUCUCUCGGCUUUAUUGAAAAAGAAGCCCCCAGAAUGGAAUGCUGACCACACACGUGCUGUCACUACUCUCAAGCAGAUUGCGCAAAAUCCGCCUCCUUUAAAGUUGAUUACUGAUGGCAAGCGCAUAUUACAGACAGACGCAAGUGAUGAAUCAUGGGGUGCCAUCCUCCUCGAAGAACUCAAUGACAAGGAACACUUUAUCGAUUUUUGACUGGGUGGAUUGGGCUGGGCUGGAGAAGGUUGGUUUGUGGCAGAAGAUUCAGGCAUAAAGAAUGGCAUCAAAAAGUUUGAGUAUCAUCUGAUUGGACACCAUUUUCUCAUCCGAAUGGACAGCUCAGCCUUCCCCAAUAUCUUUCAUUUCAAAGGUAAAACUGUUCCCGAAAAAAUGUUACUCAGAUUAAAAGAUUGGUUUUCCAAAUAUGACUUUUCAGUCAAGCAUAUAAAGGGAUCCCAGAACCUCAUCCCUGAUAUGCUCUCCAGACUCUCUAAACCACAAGGCCCUCUCACCCUGUUUUCCACCACCUACCAUUUUCCAAUUAUCUCCAUGGCUACCUCACUACCCCCAGAAGCUCUCACCAAGAAAACUUUUCCCUUCAACAAAACCUUCUCUUCUGUUUUUGAUAUCCAAGAAUUUGCAAGAAAAGCUCUCUUUCGCUUUUUCAUGAAAGCCUACCUUGUCACCGACCCUUUUCCUUUUUCCACUUUCCACCCAGAAAAUCUGUUCCUUACAGGUUUAACCCUUGAUCCGACCAGAGACACCACUGAAGACGUGUUAUGGUACAUCUGGUGCCUAACAGUCCUUUACGCAACCAAGUUAGUCCUCCCCAUUUCUCCCACUCUGGACCACCUCCUUAAUCCAGAUAACGCCACCUCCCUUACCUGGACCCUACUUGAAUGGUUCUCCCCCAUCCCAUGGUGGAGAAUGAAACUGCAACAACUGUCCGAAAUUUACAACCUUGACCGUAUGCCUGCCCCUGAAGCACAAAUGUUCACAUCAGUUUUUAUUAUUCACAGGCCAUACUUCCAACAUCCAGACACCCAUCUCUUUUGGACUCAAGAUCAGGUAUAUGAAUGGUUCACUGCACCACAUAUAGCUGUGAUUGAAAAUGACAUACAAGACGUCCUGCACAAUUACCUUUGCCAAUUAAACCACCAACCUCCGCCACUUAAAGAUAUCUCUCACACCUCCUUAGGUCCACAACAUGACCUUCUCAUGAUACCCACUCCAUCUGCUAUAUCUAAACCUAAGUCCACUGGCAUCAUCAUCAAAGAAGAACGACCAGACUACACUGACUUUCUUUACCAAGACUCACAAGAUCCAUGGGAAGAUUUUCUUCCUCUGAGCCAACACCUCCACCAGUUUCCCCAACCAACAAUGGAUGAACCUGGCCCCUCCGUACCAGGACCCUCAACCCAAUCUUCCAAACGACCAGCUCAACCAUCCAAAGUUGACAAAGCCACCCAAACUUCCCCUAAGUAUACUCCGAAGUGUACUCCCAGAGACUAUAAUUGCCCUUAUCCACCAUGCCGUGGUCCCUCCUGUAAGCAUCCAAAGCUCUCCAAAACUUUCUUCCAAAAGCAUCCUCACUCUGGUGAUACGGACCCAGAUGAGACCGAAAGCUCAUCCGAAGACGAGUACAUGAAUCUCCGCUCUCCAUAAAGUUGUUUGUCUUGUUGCUUUCAAUAAAGUAGUUUGUCUUGUUGUCAUAAUGAUGUUUCGCUUUAUGUUUGCAUAAUUAUUAAAGUUUGUUUUUACUUUAAUACUUUUGUCCAAGUCAUGCUUUAAUUAUUAAAGCACUUUUGUCUUUUGUAAUAAUUAAAGUCGUGCAAUUAUGUAAAAGAUAGGGGUCCUGUCCUAUCUUCUCACGAAUCCUCCUCUAUAUAAAGGAUUCUCCCCUUGCUUGUAAGAUAUAGAAGUUUGAAAGAAAUAAACUCGUGUUUUUCUCUUACACCAUGAAUCCCUAAAACUCUUCUCUCUCUCUGCAAAUGAAGUCCUAAGAAAGAAACAGAAUAAAGAAUUAAAUUUGUUCAUUUUGAAAACCUAAGGAAGUAUGCUCUGCACUUGCCUUUUCUAAGGAUCCUGUGCAUCAGAAAACUUUUGAUCAUUUCUUAUCUGGUUUGGUACCCUGUUUUAGACUAAAGGAAAGUCUGUUUUGGGUUGUAUAACCUGAGAAAAAUGUUUUAAAGGUUUUUGAUUACAGAGGUAUAUCGGCUGGAAACCCGAGCUUGCGGACUACUGGUCCAAAUCUUAGGACUUCAUUUGCAGAGAGAGAGAAGAGUUUUAGGGAUUCAUGGUGUAAGAGAAAAACACGAGGAGAGAACUUCUCCUUCAUGGCAUCCACUUCCUCUUCACCUCCUGUUACUCUUUCUUCCACCCUUUCUUUACCGAAAUUGAUCUCUAGCACUUCAGGCGCAGAGAGAACUUCUCCUUCAUGGCAUCCACUUCCUCUUCACCUCCUGUUACUCUUUCUUCCACCCUUUCUUUACCGAAAUCUUGCACUUCUCAUACUACUAAUAAAAUUGAAAAUCUUGUAGAAUACUCCUACAUCCCUGAAUCCGCCCAAAUCAGUGAAUCUUCUUACCCUCUCCUCAGCCCUUAUCAGUUGUAUAAACGACCUAGCUCCUUUACCCGCAGUAUCCGCACCCUUAUCUCUACCAGACGCCCUCACCCUAAAGAAUACAUCCAGUCUUCCCGCCUGGAUCAGUGUGCUCUUCAAGCCACCUCUGCUGAGCAAUAUGUCACUCUGGAGAUUCCCUCCGAGUUGCUCUCCAACUGGAAACGAGAAGGUUAUACUCAUCUCCACCUUGGCGGCAUCAGAUUAAUCCUUACCCUUCAUGGGAGAAAAGGAUUACCGGUUACCGCUCGACUUGCUAUGCUUGAUACCCGGUUUAAACAGUACCAAGAUGCUGUUAUCGGUACUGUUCUCACAACCCUUCAUGCAGGAAGUGUUUUACUCACUUUCUAUCCCAAUUUCAAUCUUUCUCUCCAAGACCCCCAUUUGCCCACAACCUUGAAAGUCCAAGUUCAGAUUCAAGGUGCUGAACAAAUUUCUUCUGCAAAAAUUGCCACUUUACAUCACCAACUGGUCUACAGGCUUCAAAAUCAUGCCUUAGAUCUACCCGCUCCAGAACACCACUCUGACACCCUCAUGGUGUUAGCAGAAUCUGACCAGAUCCCGACAAUCAUCCAGAUUCCCCGACAAAUUCCCCGUCAUGAGCUCAUCAAGCUUAUGCCUCUUGAAUGGAUCUCCAACUAUGAACAGUUCCACAACAAUACAGCUCCAAUUCAGACCUCUGACGGCAUGUUUGAAAGACGACAUGAUGGAACAGUCAGAAUGACUUUUAAACCACCCCCCAGUGCUCCACAAGAGCCUCCUAGGCUCUCCUUUACCUAUUCUUCAAUGAUCACAGCUGUUCAGACAGCGCAGGAAGAUCUGCCCAUUACAGGGUUUAAUUCUCAAGGCUACCCUGUUUAUCCAGCCAAACACAAUGGCCAUUUCCUAUGGGAUGCCCCUGGUUCCGGCAUGUGUGCCCCAAAUUGUCCCUGCUGGGAUGAUUGGGAAGAAGACGAUGAUUACGCAACCACAAGGAAAAAGAAACCCAAAAAGAAAAAACCUCCUGUUCCAUGUCACCACUGUGACCCUAAACCACCAUCAGAUCCUCCACCUCCACCGGCUCCAUUACCCAUCUACCGAAAAGAACUCACAUGGAUUGCCAAACAUUGCAAAUCUGCGAUUCCAUCACCACUCUCACACCCAACACCUACCGUCCAACCACUGGCUUGUAUGAUGUUUUCCUCUACUUCUUCAGAUUACUCUUCCUUUCCUCCUUUGGAACCCCAUACAGAUUCUCAACGAAAUGUUGUGUCCAAACCCUUUAUCCCUUCACCUAUUACCUCCAUUGGCCACCUAGAACCUCCCAAACCUUUUGAAUCAGUCCUCAACUGGCAAACCCAAAAUGCUAGAGCACAGAAUGAUACUUUGGUCAAUAUCAAUUCCAAAGUUGAGAAAAUCAGUUUACGAACUGAACAGCUUGAGACAAAGGUUGACUCCAUCUCUGCUCAGAUGCAGCAGAUCCACCAAAAUCUCCAGUCCAGAAUUGGCCAACUCGAUUCAGAGUUACGAGCCAUGCUAGCCCACAGAUACAAUGGUCCCGAAUUUGACCAAAAGGAAAGGGAAAUCAGGCGAUUAAAAGCUGAACUUGCUCAGAUUGAAUCUGAAAAACAGAGACCUACCCUUUUCACCAGUUCACCUCUUAUUCCUUCUAUCGGUCCAACUUACCAUCCUUUUGCCUCUAUGCUCUCUCCUAUUAAACAAUAUGACCCUUCCAAGUUAUUUGGCAUGACUCAUACUCUUUUCAGAGACAAUCCUUUGCCACCGCCACCUAAACCUAAACCCAAACCUAGACCGCAGCCUCGACCUCCCCCUCUUCAUCCUUCCUCUCUGACCAUCCCUGGCCAACCAUCUCCUACUUUUACACCGACCUCACCACCAGCUCCUUUAUCAGUCCCUGCCCAAUCAAAAGAUAAAGAACCCAUGAACCAAUUUACUGCUCACGCAGUCAUCCAUUCAUCUACUGACGAUCAAACUUCUGCUUCAAAUCUAGCUGUUUCAGAUAGCCAUACCGAAACCGACUCAGAAUCUUCAGCAUCCACCAGUGACUCUGAAAAGUCCUAUGCUGAUAUUACCAAAAUCCUGAUGGCUCAACCUGAUCAAGGCCAAACCUCUCAUACAGAACCAUAUGUUGAUAUUCCCUCCGAAGUUGAAGACGAAAUGCCUGAAUCUUCUGCCACAAACCAACCUUCUCCAGCCCAGCCCAAUCCACCCAGUCAAAAAUCGUCAAAUGGUCCAUGGUUCACAUUUGAUGAUCUUCCAUCUCAUAAAUGGCGUGACCGACUCAAUGAAAUGUCUGCCUGGAUUGAC
RNAcentral lists this long non-coding RNA (16730 nucleotides) under Citrus x clementina. Its description in RNAcentral is "Citrus clementina (C. clementina) long non-coding RNA (CCLE_LNC004694)". Lineage: Eukaryota; Viridiplantae; Streptophyta; Magnoliopsida; Sapindales; Rutaceae. The record is from RNAcentral.